RNAcentral lists this ribosomal RNA (440 nucleotides) under uncultured bacterium. RNAcentral's name for it is "partial 16S ribosomal RNA". It matches the Rfam family "Bacterial small subunit ribosomal RNA", at positions 338 to 795 of the family's 1533-position model. The record is from RNAcentral.
CCUACGGGAGGCAGCAGUAGGGAAUUUUGCGCAAUGGGCGAAAGCCUGACGCAGCAACGCCGCGUGAUCGAGACGCCCUUCGGGGUGUAAAGAUCUGUCAGUGGGGACGAAACUUGACGGUACCCACAGAGGAAGCACCGUCUAACUCCGUGCCAGCAGCCGCGGUACUACGGGGGGUGCACGCGUUGUCCGGAAUCAGUGGGUUUAAAGAGUUCGUAGGCGGCACGUAAAGUCUGGUGGUAAAGGCAGAGUAUCAACUUCUGUACGGCAGUGGAUACUUGCGGGCUAGAAUGCGGUCAGGGAAAAGGGAAUUCCUGGUGUAGCGGUGAAAUGCUUAGAUAUCAGGAGGAACAUCGGUGGCGUAAGCGAUUUUCUGGGCCGUAAUUGACGCUGAGGAACGAAAGCCAGGGUAGCAAAUGGGAUUAGAUACCCUUGUAGUC